UCAGCUCCUUUGCCAUUCGGCUCAGAUCAAGAGUAGUAACUGUUCUUUCGCAGGGUGACACCUCGAAUCAAAUCAAUCACCACAAUUUUUGAACUCAUUCCGAGAAGCCGCUCGAUCUUGAUCGAAGUCUUUUGGAGGUGUUGCCGGUAUUGCACUGCCGCCGGCUGACGCCUAUCACUU
Small nuclear RNA from Zymoseptoria brevis, 180 nucleotides. It matches the Rfam family "U2 spliceosomal RNA". Rfam says of the family: U2 is a small nuclear RNA (snRNA) component of the spliceosome (involved in pre-mRNA splicing). The record is from Rfam. NCBI's taxonomy places the organism in Eukaryota, Fungi, Ascomycota, Dothideomycetes, Mycosphaerellales, Mycosphaerellaceae.